RNAcentral lists this ribosomal RNA (473 nucleotides) under Staphylococcus epidermidis. Its description in RNAcentral is "bacterial SSU rRNA". It matches the Rfam family "Bacterial small subunit ribosomal RNA", at positions 10 to 473 of the family's 1533-position model. Lineage: Bacteria; Bacillati; Bacillota; Bacilli; Caryophanales; Staphylococcaceae. The record is from RNAcentral.
UGUUUGAUCCUGGCUCAGGAUGAACGCUGGCGGCGUGCCUAAUACAUGCAAGUCGAGCGAACAGACGAGGAGCUUGCUCCUCUGACGUUAGCGGCGGACGGGUGAGUAACACGUGGAUAACCUACCUAUAAGACUGGGAUAACUUCGGGAAACCGGAGCUAAUACCGGAUAAUAUAUUGAACCGCAUGGUUCAAUAGUGAAAGACGGUUUUGCUGUCACUUAUAGAUGGAUCCGCGCCGCAUUAGCUAGUUGGUAAGGUAACGGCUUACCAAGGCAACGAUGCGUAGCCGACCUGAGAGGGUGAUCGGCCACACUGGAACUGAGACACGGUCCAGACUCCUACGGGAGGCAGCAGUAGGGAAUCUUCCGCAAUGGGCGAAAGCCUGACGGAGCAACGCCGCGUGAGUGAUGAAGGUCUUCGGAUCGUAAAACUCUGUUAUUAGGGAAGAACAAAUGUGUAAGUAACUAUGCAC